GAACGAACGCUGGCGGCGCGCCUAAUACAUGCAAGUCGAGCGAGAAGACGUAGCAAUACGUUUGUAAAGCGGCGAACGGGUGAGGAAUACAUGGGUAACCUACCCUCGAGUGGGAAUAACUAGCCGAAAGGUUAGCUAAUACCGCGUACGCUCCUUGGACUUCGGUUCAGGGGAGGAAAGGCGAUACCGUGGGUAUCGCGCUCUUGGAUGGGCUCAUGUCCUAUCAGCUUGUUGGUGAGGUAACGGCUCACCAAGGCUUCGACGGGUAGCUGGUCUGAGAGGACGAUCAGCCACACUGGCACUGCGACACGGGCCAGACUCCUACGGGAGGCAGC
RNAcentral lists this ribosomal RNA (335 nucleotides) under uncultured bacterium. RNAcentral's name for it is "bacterial SSU rRNA". It matches the Rfam family "Bacterial small subunit ribosomal RNA", at positions 27 to 352 of the family's 1533-position model. The record is from RNAcentral.